RNAcentral lists this ribosomal RNA (61 nucleotides) under Trichoderma harzianum. RNAcentral's name for it is "partial 28S ribosomal RNA". Lineage: Eukaryota; Fungi; Ascomycota; Sordariomycetes; Hypocreales; Hypocreaceae. The record is from RNAcentral.
GUUGACCUCGGAUCAGGUAGGAAUACCCGCUGAACUUAAGCAUAUCAAAAGCGGGGAGGAA